UUACAGAAUGCCAAUUUGAAAACUCAC
This 27-nucleotide small RNA is filed under the name Bombyx mori (domestic silkworm). RNAcentral describes it as "ovarian small RNA-36430". The record is from RNAcentral. Lineage: Eukaryota; Metazoa; Arthropoda; Insecta; Lepidoptera; Bombycidae.